RNAcentral lists this long non-coding RNA (760 nucleotides) under Fukomys damarensis (Damara mole-rat). Its description in RNAcentral is "lncRNA (ENSFDAG00000025890.1)". Lineage: Eukaryota; Metazoa; Chordata; Mammalia; Rodentia; Bathyergidae. The record is from RNAcentral.
GGAACAGAAGAGAAAGGAUCUGACUAGGGAACCAGCAGUGCCUGUCCCCCUCCCUCAAGUUCCUGUUACCCCACACAUAGAGAAUUCUGCUUUUAUCCCCCAGUGUCAAUGGCAAAAUCUGGGGAGGGUGAGAUCAUGCAGGUCUUGUGAGUCAACAGCUACAGUUCACUCAAAUUUAACAAGUUACAAAUGGGUCAUCUCGAAGGACACCAGGGCCUAUAAGUGGAGAAAGAUGCUGGGUCCAGUCAAGACCUAGUGUAACCGGCAGCAGACAGGCCAUUGAACAUAGGAAAGUUCAGACUGUGAUACGUGCAGUUACUGUCAUAGAGACACAAUGGUGUAAAUGACAGCAAGAAUGAGACAGCUUUAAUUUCAGUAAGGGAGAAUUUGAAUGUAGCUUUUCAGGGCAGGUAGUAUUCUUAUAAGUAGGAUAGAAGGAAGAGGAUGUUUCAAGCAUCGAGACAAAACUACAUGAACUAAAGACUGAGGGCAAGAAAGUAGGCAGUUUACUAUUUCGGAGAGACACCAGCUUUGUCACUGUGUUUGUCUGGCUCCCUUCCCACCUUCACCGGAGGAAAAUGGAAGAGCAACAGCUGACUGCGAAUCCGCGCGCCUCCUCGGCGGGCAGCGACUCCUGUUGCUUCUCCGAGCUCCGUCGCCCUUAGGGACAAUCUCCCCACUCGCCCCCUCGCCGGCGCGGAGAAGAGGGCACGGGCGCGGACAGAGGGGUCUGCGCGGCGCAGCUACCCAGAAGCCACCG